This 274-nucleotide ribosomal RNA is filed under the name uncultured bacterium. RNAcentral describes it as "partial 16S ribosomal RNA". It matches the Rfam family "Bacterial small subunit ribosomal RNA", at positions 523 to 796 of the family's 1533-position model. The record is from RNAcentral.
AGACAGAGGGUGCGAGCGUUAAUCGGAAUUACUGGGCGUAAAGGGCACGUAGGCGGUUUAUCAAGUCAGAUGUGAAAGACCUGGGCUUAACCGAGGCAUAGCAUAUGAAACUGAUAGACUAGAGUACAGUAGAGGGGAGUGGAAUUUCCGGUGUAGCGGUGAAAUGCUUAGAUAUCGGAAGGAACACCAGUGGCGAAGGCGGCCAUCUGGACGGUGACUGACGCUGAGGUGCGAAAGCGUGGGGAGCAAACAGGAUUAGAAACCCCAGUAGUCC